RNAcentral lists this ribosomal RNA (609 nucleotides) under Staphylococcus epidermidis. Its description in RNAcentral is "bacterial LSU rRNA". It matches the Rfam family "Bacterial large subunit ribosomal RNA", at positions 871 to 1482 of the family's 2925-position model. The record is from RNAcentral. Lineage: Bacteria; Bacillati; Bacillota; Bacilli; Caryophanales; Staphylococcaceae.
UAGGGCUAGCCUCAAGUGAUGAUUAUUGGGGGUAGAGCACUGUUUGGACGAGGGGCCCCUCUCGGGUUACCGAAUUCAGACAAACUCCGAAUGCCAAUUAAUUUAACUUGGGAGUCAGAACAUGGGUGAUAAGGUCCGUGUUCGAAAGGGAAACAGCCCAGACCACCAGCUAAGGUCCCAAAAUAUAUGUUAAGUGGAAAAGGAUGUGGCGUUGCCCAGACAACUAGGAUGUUGGCUUAGAAGCAGCCAUCAUUUAAAGAGUGCGUAAUAGCUCACUAGUCGAGUGACACUGCGCCGAAAAUGUAACGGGGCUAAACAUAUUACCGAAGCUGUGGAUUGUCCUUUGGACAAUGGUAGGAGAGCGUUCUAAGGGCGUCGAAGCAUGAUCGCAAGGACAUGUGGAGCGCUUAGAAGUGAGAAUGCCGGUGUGAGUAGCGAAAGACGGGUGAGAAUCCCGUCCACCGAUUGACUAAGGUUUCCAGAGGAAGGCUCGUCCGCUCUGGGUUAGUCGGGUCCUAAGCUGAGGCCGACAGGCGUAGGCGAUGGAUAACAGGUUGAUAUUCCUGUACCACCUCGUAUCGUUUUAAUCGAUGGGGGGACGCAGUAGGA